AGGCCAAAUAUCACAUUUGCGGCACAACUUCAUUAUUAUUGUUAUUAAUUGAUGUUUCUUCAUGUACCUGUUAUAGCCACACUUGUUUGUGGCACCACUUGAUUAGUGGGAUGUGUUAGGGCUAAUUGUUGUCCAGUUAUUGGUAAUGCUGAUGCUCCUUGUUCUCUCUCUUCCUCUAUUUGUAGUAUAACUUCAUAGAUCUCUGUUGCCUGUAGUUCUGCAUUGUCAUGUGAUCUCCAUGUAAUUGAUGGUAUAACAUAUUUUUACCUUUUAAAGCAG
RNAcentral lists this long non-coding RNA (279 nucleotides) under Mytilus galloprovincialis (Mediterranean mussel). The record is from RNAcentral. Lineage: Eukaryota; Metazoa; Mollusca; Bivalvia; Mytilida; Mytilidae.